GCAGCUCGGGCCGGAGCUCUCUCCCGGCCUGCAGCGCCUGCCCCGCUCCGAGGCUGAGCCCUGCUCCGUGCCCUGGGCUUGCUCCGCUCCGAAUGCGUUUGAAAGGCUUUUCUGAAAGACUCGCGUCGAUGUGAAGUAGCGCUGUGUUUAAAAACGCUGAUAAAAAUCCACGCGGGAAAAGGAGCGGUGAGCAGGUUUUACAGCGUGCUGGGUGCGUUGAGGAUCUCUCUACCUUAAGCGAAGCACAAAUUCAGGUCUCAAAGGGUCGGAAAGCUGCUUGUAAACCAGGAUCUCUUCUUUAAAUACGCGUGAUCCGCAGUCUCCCGAGAGAAGGUGACCCCUGCAUGCCGGGCUGCAGAGUGACCAGGACCCAGACAGAAGCUGGUGUCCUCCUGACACACGAAGGAGCCUGGAAUCCACAGACAUGUUAAACUACAGGAAUACUUGCAUGCCUUUUACUCUUCUGAAGCAGGACCCCCAUUCAGUCUUUUUAGAAACGAUCCCUCGAAUUGUAUCAACAAUCUGUGGUUUAAGCUCGAGGAAGGGCGUCAUUUCUUGGAGCCCCUAGGGGAACGGUGAAGUUUCAAAGAUCUUUCAGCAGCUUUUGCUGGUCCUCUCCGAGAAGAGAGAUAUUGAAAACAUUCAUAGCACCCAAAAUUGUGAAUAAAAUAUGCAAUAUUUUGUGAAAUAAAAAUUGUGAAUAAAACAUGGGGGUUUGUGCCCUCUAGGUACUCACCACCAUGCUAAGAAUAAAGAACUCGGUAAUGUUAUCAACAUCAGCUCAGGAUGCCAUGUAAGAUAUGGUACCAGGAUGCUGACAGGUGGUGAUACAGCUCUACCUUGCACAUUUUAUUUUAUGCCUGACAUGGUUCUCAGGGAAGCUUUUGCACUUAGAUCACCAGCCUCUUUGCUUGAUAUUUUAACAAGUAUCUUCUCAGAUCUAGCUUUUCUGAACUUCUGAUAUAUGAUUUUUUCUUAGUAGCUAUGUGAACCUCAGUCACUGCUGUCUAAUACAGACCAACAUCACACUUAAAAAGACAGUUAAAAAGGAUAGAAUCUUAAAAUCACAGAGUGACUUGUGUUGGAAGGGACCUUAAAGAUAAUCUAGUUCCAGCCUCUCGAGGAAGUUGCCUGGCUGCUCCCAGCUGAGAGCUUUCUUAGGUGAAAAAGGAGGGGUAAAGUCUUUGUUUCCCAGUAACAGUGGCAGGAAUGUUAGAAUCAGAAUUUUUUUCUCAUUUAACUACAAAUAAUUAGUUGUGAUUGUACAGAUUCUUAGUAGGAGGUAAGAAAGCCCCGAUACCCGUGAUAGCUGCCAUACCUCUUGUGAGAGUCUAGGUGAACCCUUUAACCUUUCAGGACAAGCUUUGUGCUGAUGAUUUCAGCAAAGUAUCAAAGCCUGUCGUCCGUGAGAAAAAGAGUUUAAUUUCCAAAGGCUUUUUGCUUUAGAUGUGGACAUCUGAAGAAUUUCUGCUACAAUUUCUGGUAUCUUCAAAUUACCAGAAGUGUGCUAGAAUUUGAUCUGAGGACAAGGACGUCUUUGAUCACCACAAAACUUCGAUUUGGUGGAUCAUGGAGGAGUGCAACACUUGCAAAAUGCAGUUGUAGAGUAGCACACAAGGGACUGCUGGGUGUCCAAGGGAAUUAGGGGAUUAUUGGCUGAUGCUACCACUGCCCAAGUGUCUGGGGAAAUCUUGUUCGAGCCAAUUAAUAACAAAGAAAUGAAGCUGCCCAAGGACAAAGAGGAGGGCAAGACAGAGAGGAGCUACCUUCACAUUAGCAAGCCCACAACUCAUGAAUUUUCAGAGAUACAAAGGAAGGCAGGCCAGUGGUUCAGAAGCCAGGUGAUGUUCCCAGGUGUCUCUUCCUCUUCCAGGUAGAAGUGACAAGGUCAGCUGCCCCAGUUUGCUGUGGUGAAAAGACCUCAGUGAAUUUCCUUGGUGGAAAUUCACCAAGGGGAAAAUGGAUGGGUUUCGUAUGCUGUUGAUUUGUGAAAAGCAUCCCAGCAAUCAGUAUGAACAGUCAGGAUUUUUGCACAUCAGGAUCAAUUUGUGGUUGCCCAGAGGCUGUGGAAGCAAGUCAAUAUCAGAAUGGUAGCUGGUGUAAGUAGCUAAGGUAAAAUUGAAGCUGAGAGCUCUGGCUAGGUAAGGGAGAGGCAAUUCAGUUACUUGGUCAUGCCUUCAGCUACAGUCCAAUUUUAGAAUAACAGUACAUCUUUUGCAGUUGAAGAAUAGGCAUCUUAACAACAAUCACAUAUUCGCUGUAAUGUGUCUUGAAAGCAUUACAUGUCCUUUUCAUAGGAUUCCCUUUCCCCACUACCUUGCCAGCUGCAUUAGAUUAGGAGCAGGAAGGAGCAGCAGCUAGCAGAGGUGAAGGCAUCAAGUGUCUUCUAGCAGUGGAGGCAAGAAGGGGAAUUUGUAAGGUGCAGCUAUUUUUCAGAGUGGGGUGAUGAAG
This is a non-coding RNA of Cyanistes caeruleus (blue tit), 2451 nucleotides long. The record is from RefSeq and is a predicted model, not a curated record. Lineage: Eukaryota; Metazoa; Chordata; Aves; Passeriformes; Paridae.